AUAUAGUGGAAUACUGAAGCCUCCUCAGCAAAGUGCAUUUCAUUUUCUUUUUUUUUAAUAAUUAUUAAGUAAUCAUUUAAUUCAUUUUAUUUGGCAAUGUUUAUUUCAUUUUGUUUACUCAACUUACAAAAUCCCUUUUUCACUCAUUUCAACUCCAAAUUUCAUGCCAAUUUUUGCAUCAUGAUCAUAAAAACGUCUAGUUUUUUAUCAUUAUUUUUACAGAUUUUUUGGAUCAGGGAAUUUUAA
This 246-nucleotide long non-coding RNA is filed under the name Lathyrus oleraceus (garden pea). RNAcentral's name for it is "Pisum sativum (pea) long non-coding RNA (PSAT_LNC016125)". Lineage: Eukaryota; Viridiplantae; Streptophyta; Magnoliopsida; Fabales; Fabaceae. The record is from RNAcentral.